This 332-nucleotide ribosomal RNA is filed under the name uncultured bacterium. RNAcentral describes it as "bacterial SSU rRNA". It matches the Rfam family "Bacterial small subunit ribosomal RNA", at positions 568 to 898 of the family's 1533-position model. The record is from RNAcentral.
AACGCAGGUGGUUUGGUAAGUCAGGGGUGAAAGUCCACAGCUUAACUGUGGCACUGCCUCUGAUACUGCCUUUCUUGAGUAGAGUAGGGGGAAGUGGAAUUCCGAGUGUAGAGGUGAAAUUCGUAGAUAUUCGGAGGAACACCGGUGGCGAAGGCGGCUUCCUGGACUCUAACUGACACUCAUGUUCGAAAGCGUGGGUAGCAAACAGGAUUAGAUACCCUGGUAGUCCACGCCCUAAACGAUGGGCACUAGGUGUGGGAGGUAUCGACCCCUUCCGUGCCGCAGCUAACGCAUUAAGUGCCCCGCCUGGGGAGUACGGCCGCAAGGUUGAA